RNAcentral lists this ribosomal RNA (755 nucleotides) under uncultured bacterium. RNAcentral's name for it is "bacterial SSU rRNA". It matches the Rfam family "Bacterial small subunit ribosomal RNA", at positions 629 to 1385 of the family's 1533-position model. The record is from RNAcentral.
UGAACUGNCAAGCUAGAGUGUGUCAGAGGGGGGUAGAAUNCCACGUGUAGCAGUGAAAUGCGUAGAGAUGUGGAGGAAUACCGAUGGCGAAGGCAGCCCCCUGGGAUAACACUGACGUUCAUGCUCGAAAGCGUGGGUAGCAAACAGGAUUAGAUACCCUGGUAGUNCACGCCCUAAACGAUGUCAAUUAGCUGUUGGGCAACUUGAUUGCUUAGUAGCGUAGCUAACGCGAGAAAUUGACCGCCUGGGGAGUACGGUCGCAAGAUUAAAACUCAAAGGAAUUGACGGGGACCCGCACAAGCGGUGGAUGAUGUGGAUUAAUUCGAUGCAACGCGAAGAACCUUGCCUGGUCUUGACAUGUACGGAAUCUCUCAGAGACGGGAGAGUGCCUUCGGGAACCGUAACACAGGUGCUGCAUGGCUGUCGUCAGCUCGUGUCGUGAGAUGUUGGGAUAAGUCCCGCAACGAGCGCAACCCUUGUCAUUAGUUGCCAUCAUUUAGUUGGGCACUCUAAUGAGACUGCCGGUGACAAACCGGAGGAAGGUGGGGAUGACGUCAAGUCCUCAUGGCCCUUAUGACCAGGGCUUCACACGUCAUACAAUGGUCGGUACAGAGGGUCGCCAAGCCGCGAGGUGGAGCCAAUCUCACAAAACCGAUCGUAGUCCGGAUUGCACUCUGCAACUCGAGUGCGUGAAGUCGGAAUCGCUAGUAAUCGCAGGUCAGCAUACUGCGGUGAAUACGUUCCCGGGUCUUGUA